CCUGGAGUGAGGUUGCUUUCUCCGCUGGCUGCUCCCUCUCCUGCCUUGACCCCUGCAGUAAGGUGGACAAAGUUUCAGAAAAGAAGGGUAGAGGGACAUGUGGAGCUGGACACUGCACUGAGGGACAGAGUUCUCCAGACCCUGAACUUGAGUUCCUAUGGUCAAUGCUAAAGGUCAACUGUAUGAAGAGGUUAGCCCAUCUUCCGUGAGAGGUCUCCAUCAUGGGUGCCUAUCAUUCACUUCCAGGAAGAUGAGAUGAUAGCUUUGGCUGUGAGAGACUGUUUUGGACCACACACAUACCUGAGACAUAGCUGUGUCGACGCAAGGGCCCAUCUGAUGAAGGGAAGUCUUUACUGUGGGCAGAACUUCAGGGAGUACAUGCGCCUCUGCAGGGAAGCUGGAAACAGAGCCUCUGAGCUGACCUCCUAACUCCAGAGCUGGUGCCCCAGAGUUCAACAUGGAGGAUAGUCAAGAUCCAAACUUCACCGUGAAGACAAAUGCCCUAAGAGUGUGCCCGCCAUUAUCACCAUCCACAGGGCUGUGACCCAAACCGCCAACGUUUGCAGGAAGCUCCGCUGGUCUCUUCUUCCAGAAUUUGUUUGACCAGAGAAGCCAUGGAAAGGAAAUGUCCCAGAAGAAGGACAAGAGGACCAACCAAAAUGGGGGAGCUGGAGCUAAAGAUCCAGACCCGGGAUGUGAACUGGAGCAGUUGGUGGAAACUGGCCAAAGCUAACAGAGUGGACCCUUGUCAGCCUAGACUCACCAAAGGCCUCCAAGCAGACAAGACUGGGACAGUUUUCCUCCUAGGGUGCUGUGUUCUGCACACGGUGAUCUGCGCCGUCAUGGAGGCUUUGUCUGACGGUGCCCCGGAACAGAACACUUCCCCAUGCAAAACAUAAAAUCAACAAAGCA
Molecule: non-coding RNA, 912 nt
Organism: Peromyscus maniculatus bairdii (prairie deer mouse)
Lineage: Eukaryota; Metazoa; Chordata; Mammalia; Rodentia; Cricetidae
Source: RefSeq, a predicted model, not a curated record